AAUUAGAGAAAUAACCACAACAAAGACCCAACGGGGAAGACUUAACAAAGCAAGGCUCCACAGGGGAAAAGAAUCGUCAAAAAGGGAAAAACACAACUCCACUAGGGGAGGAAUAUUACCUAAAUAUCAGCCAAGUGAUAACUUAACAAAUUUAAUAAGCUCAAACAUGAUGAUUUCCAACUACCAUCCAAGUGGUAAGUUAACAAAGGCAACCAAAUAGAGGUAA
Molecule: long non-coding RNA, 226 nt
Filed under: Lathyrus oleraceus (garden pea)
Lineage: Eukaryota; Viridiplantae; Streptophyta; Magnoliopsida; Fabales; Fabaceae
Description: Pisum sativum (pea) long non-coding RNA (PSAT_LNC022326)
Source: RNAcentral